AGCAGCCGCGGUAAUUCCAGCCCCAAUAGCGCAUAUUAAAGUUGUUGCAGUUAAAAAGCUCGUAGUUGAACUUCAGGCCUGUCCAGAUGGUCCGCCUUAAUUGGUGUGUACUGUCCUUGGGUGGGUCCUACCUUCUGGCGAAGCGGCAUGGCCUUAGUUGGUUGUGUCGGGGAACCAGGACUUUUACUGUGAAAAAAUUAGAGUGUUCAAAGCAGGCAAAUAUGCUCGAAUACAUUAGCAUGGAAUAAUGGAAUAGGACGAUGGUUCUAUUUUGUUGGUUCUAGGACCGUUGUAAUGAUUAAUAGGGAUAGUUGGGGGCAUUAGUAUUCAAUUGUCAGAGGUGAAAUUCUUGGAUUUAUUGAAGACUAACUACUGCGAAAGCAUUUGCCAAGGAUGUUUUCAUUAAUCAAGAACGAAAGUUAGGGGAUCGAAGACGAUCAGAUACCGUCGUAGUCUUAACCAUAAACUAUGCCGACUA
Molecule: ribosomal RNA, 478 nt
Filed under: uncultured Paraglomus
Lineage: Eukaryota; Fungi; Glomeromycota; Glomeromycetes; Paraglomerales; Paraglomeraceae
Description: bacterial SSU rRNA
Rfam family: Eukaryotic small subunit ribosomal RNA
Source: RNAcentral